CCUACGGGGGGCAGCAGUGGGGAAUAUUGGACAAUGGGGGGAACCCUGAUCCAGCCAUGCCGCGUGUGUGAAGAAGGCCCUCGGGUUGUAAAGCACUUUCAGUGAGGAAGAACGCCUGGUGGUUAAUACCCAUCAGGAAAGACAUCACUCACAGAAGAAGCACCGGCUAACUCCGUGCCAGCAGCCGCGGUAAUACGGAGGGUGCGAGCGUUAAUCGGAAUUACUGGGCGUAAAGCGCGCGUAGGUGGCUUGAUAAGCCGGUUGUGAAAGCCCCGGGCUCAACCUGGGAACGGCAUCCGGAACUGUCAAGCUAGAGUGCAGGAGAGGAAGGUAGAAUUCCCGGUGUAGCGGUGAAAUGCGUAGAGAUCGGGAGGAAUACCAGUGGCGAAGGCGGCCUUCUGGACUGACACUGACACUGAGGUGUGAAAGCGUGGGUAGCAAACAGGAUUAGAUACCCUGGUAGUC
This 465-nucleotide ribosomal RNA is filed under the name Vreelandella stevensii. Its description in RNAcentral is "partial 16S ribosomal RNA". It matches the Rfam family "Bacterial small subunit ribosomal RNA", at positions 338 to 795 of the family's 1533-position model. Lineage: Bacteria; Pseudomonadati; Pseudomonadota; Gammaproteobacteria; Oceanospirillales; Halomonadaceae. The record is from RNAcentral.